RNAcentral lists this ribosomal RNA (453 nucleotides) under uncultured Prevotellaceae bacterium. Its description in RNAcentral is "bacterial SSU rRNA". It matches the Rfam family "Bacterial small subunit ribosomal RNA", at positions 341 to 792 of the family's 1533-position model. The record is from RNAcentral. Lineage: Bacteria; Pseudomonadati; Bacteroidota; Bacteroidia; Bacteroidales; Prevotellaceae.
ACGGGAGGCAGCAGUGAGGAAUAUUGGUCAAUGGGCGGGAGCCUGAACCAGCCAAGUAGCGUGAAGGAUGACUGCCCUACGGGUUGUAAACUUCUUUUAUACGGGAAUAAAAAAGGCCACGUGUGGCCUCUUGCAUGUACCGUAUGAAUAAGCAUCGGCUAAUUCCGUGCCAGCAGCCGCGGUAAUACGGAAGAUGCGAGCGUUAUCCGGAUUUAUUGGGUUUAAAGGGAGCGUAGGCGGGUCUUUAAGUCAGUGGUCAAAGCGUGUGGCUCAACCAUACCACGCCAUUGAUACUGGAGACCUUGAGUGCACAUAAGGAUGGUGGAAUUCGUCGUGUAGCGGUGAAAUGCUUAGAUAUGACGAAGAACACCGAUUGCGUAGGCAGCAGACCAGGCCGUAAAUGACGCUCAUGCACGAAAGUGCGGGGAUCGAACAGGAUUAAAUACCCUGGUA